Long non-coding RNA from Cyprinus carpio carpio, 1146 nucleotides. The record is from Ensembl. NCBI's taxonomy places the organism in Eukaryota, Metazoa, Chordata, Actinopteri, Cypriniformes, Cyprinidae.
ACUCCUCCUAGAGAUUUAUUCAGAUCAACACCAAACUUUGUCUGCCUAAUCUAAAGGCCUUUGCGAUGUUAAAUUGCGAAGAUCUUGAGGUUUCGUUUAAGGGCGUGUCUGUGGCGGCCUUACAAAUUUCGAUGUUUCGCCAUGAGAAAGGAAGUUGCUAUAACUCAGACAUACAAUGUCCAAUCUGCCCCAAACUUCACAUGUUUGAGAAGACUCCUGACCUGAAUAUAUCUACAUGCCAAUAUUCAGAUAUCGCUAUAGCGCAACAGGAAGUGACAUGUUUUACGCCGUAACAAACUACUCCUAGAAAUUUUAUGACAUUUUAUAAUUUUUGGGUCAGUCUAAUCUAAAGGCCUUUGCGAUGUUAAAUUGUGAACAUCUUGAGGUUUCAUUAAAGGGUGUGGCCAUGGCGCCGUGACAAAGUUCGAUGUCUCGCCAUGGGAAUAGAAGUUGUUGUAACUCAGGCAUAAGAUGUCCGAUCUUCCCUCAAACUUCACAUGUUCGAAAAAGAGUCUUGGCCUGAACACAUCUGAAGGUCAUUAUUCCACUAUAAUCAUAGCGCCACCUGCUGGCAACAGAAAAUGGCUUGCUUUAUACUAACUCAAACAUUCCAUGUUCAAUCUGCACUAAAUUUCAUAUGCUUGAUAAAAGUGCUGGACUGAAGAAAUCUACAUGACAAAAUCCAGUUAUAGUCAUAGCGCCACCAGCUGGCAGCAGGAAGAUUGGCACAUAUAAAUGACUUUGACAUAUUCCUCUUAUAUUUACCACAUUAAACGCAUAUUUCUCGCCGUUCGCUGUUUUACAAAAGCCAACUGGUGGUGGUGAGCCCGGGUGCGAGGGCCCGUUCAUCGCUGCUUGCAGCUUUAAUUAUUAUUAUUAUUCUUCUUCUUUUUCUCCAAAAUGAAUCGCAUUUUUGAGAGCCUAAACAUGCUCGAAAAGUCCUGAAACUUUGCACACGCGUCAGACCUGGUGAAAAUUUACGUCUGAUAUAGGUUUCAGAAGAGGGUGUGGCAAAAUGGCUCGACAGCGCCACCUAUCGUAAAAAAAUCAACAGCCCUCGAGCUGUGUUUCACGUACAUGCACGAAAAUUGGCACACAUAUGUAAAGCAUCAGUACCUACAAAAAAAGACUCUUGGAGCAAUAUCC